CCUACGGGAGGCUGCAGUGAGGAAUAUUGGUCAAUGGGCGGGAGCCUGACCCAGCCAAGCCGCGUGAAGGAAGAAGGCGCCAGGCGUCGUAAACUUCUUUUGUCGGGGAACAAAGGGCGCCACGCGUGGCGUUGUGAGUGUACCCGAAGAAAAAGCAUCGGCUACCUCAGUGCCAGCAGCCGCGGUAUAACGGAGGCUGCGAGCGUUCUCCGGAUUUAUUGGGUUUAAAGGGUGCGUAGGCGGUCCGGAAAGUCAGCGGGAAAAGCCCGGGGCUCAACCCCGGCUAGCCGUUGAUACUGUCGGACUAGAGACGGCUAGAAGGACGCGGAAUGCGCGGUGUAGCGGUGAAAUGCAUAGCUAUCGCGCAGAACUCCGAUUGCGAAGGCAGCUUACCGGCGCCAGACUGACGCUGAGGCACGAAAGCGUGGGUAUCGAACAGGAUUAGAUACCCCAGUAGUC
RNAcentral lists this ribosomal RNA (459 nucleotides) under uncultured bacterium. RNAcentral's name for it is "partial 16S ribosomal RNA". It matches the Rfam family "Bacterial small subunit ribosomal RNA", at positions 338 to 795 of the family's 1533-position model. The record is from RNAcentral.